GAUGAAGAACGUAGCGAAAUGCGAUAAGUUAUGUGAAUUGCAGAAUUCAGUGAAUCAUCGAAUCUUUGAACGCACAUUGCGCCCGCCAGUAUUCUGGCGGGCAUGCCUGUUCGAGCGUCAUUUCAACCCUCAGGCCCCCAGUGCCUGGCGUUGGGGAUCGGCGCGGCGCCCUCCGGGGCGCUGCCGGCCCCGAAAUUCAGUGGCGGUCUCGCUGUAGCCCUCCUCCGCGUAGUAGCACAACCUCGCGGCCUGGAGCUCGGCGGUGGCCAUGCCGUAAAACACCCCACUUCUGAAAGUUGACCUCGGAUCAGGUAGGAAUACCCGCUGAACUUAAGCAUAUCAAUAAGCGGAGGA
RNAcentral lists this unclassified non-coding RNA (354 nucleotides) under soil metagenome. Its description in RNAcentral is "partial contains 5.8S ribosomal RNA, internal transcribed spacer 2, and large subunit ribosomal RNA". The stretch from base 1 to 120 matches the Rfam family "5.8S ribosomal RNA", at positions 35 to 154 of the family's 154-position model. The record is from RNAcentral.